UUUAGGAGGAAACAAUUGUGUACUGUAUUGGACACACAGAAAAAGUGGACGCUUAUACAUGCACUGGUGUGCAAAUUUAUAGUUGCAUAUCAAAGGUCCUCAGUGAUUUAAGCAAAAGUUUUUCCUUAGAUUUACUGGAUUCUUGACUCAGAUGUGCUUUCUUAUCAAAAGAGACUUAGCCCAUAUUUGAUGAUAAUAAAUUAUACUUGAUUACCUUACGUUUACGUUAUGCACACUCUUUUCUGUUUUCCACUCCAUGGAUUCACAAGGUCAUAUGGAAGGAUUAUUUGACCAGAAGCCAUGGGGACUCCAUAGAUUUAGAAUUCCAUUUGCAAUGUUAUGACAAUAGCUCAUCAUGGUAGCCUGCCUUUAUUAGCGCUACAAAGAGAUACCACAACUAUCAUCAUGUGCCAGAGAACACCUAGAAAAUGUACACUCUCAUUUAGGUUUUUUAUUCCUAUGCUCCCUAUAUUUGAGCCCCUGGGACAUUGGCACAUUGAAAAUUAUUUCUAAAUGACUGCCUAGGAGCAGUAUACAAGGGUAACUGUAUUAUAAAACAGGAGAUUGUCCAUGACAAAGAAGAAAUAAAUCAAUAACAGGUGCAAGUAUCUCAGAAACUGUUACUUCAACAUAAAUUGUCCCUGUAAGAAGGACAGAAAAAUGUUUUUACAAACCUUUUACUUUUUUCAAUUCUCACUGGAAUCCCAUGUCAGAAGAGAAAAUAGCUGUUUGCUUAGAAUAAAGUGUCUUAGCCAUCUACGUGGACCUGACAGUAAUGGCAAAGGAUGGUGCCGAUCAAUAUCCAUCUUCUUCAUUCCUGAAGUAAUAACUUUCAAUAGGAAAAUCUAUUUACUUUUACUUACCUUUAUUUUAUUUCAUUUUGCUUUAAAGAAGUUCAUUCCAGAGGGAGGGUUUACUUGGCAAACAGCAGUUAACAAACUGAUGAUUUAACUAAAGACUCUGGGCCAGGAGGGGCGUGACCAUCACUGUACCUGUGCGAUAAUGUUAAGAGGAAACAUAGUUUUUUGGGAUUCUAAAUUUGUUAUUCAAAUAACAGUCACUAAAGGCCUUUGAGGGCUCACAGCUGCUUAUCUGGAACAUAUAUAAACCAGGGCAAUCAGAAACAAGGGUCGGCAUUCACAUUCUAACAUGCAGGGCUUCUUGAAUAGUUCACAUUCCGUUUGCUGAGGACAUUAUAUGCUACUGGACUGUGUGGUGAGCACAGUGUCACUGGACAAGGAUUUAAAAAGGAAACCUCAAAAUCUUGUCAUUUCAUAUAUUGUAUAAAAACUGUAGUUAGGGAAGACCAUGCAUUCUCUGUCCGAUCUACAACAGAGGUGGGCUUCACCCCAAAUUGUCACAACGGUCAUUAUUUUUAUUUUUAUUUGUGUAUUUAUUUAUUUUUUCACAACAGUCAUUAUUUUUAAAUUGCACUUCAAAAGCAAGUGCUCAACAUGUGACUUUAAGCACUGAAAUAAAUUUUUCAAUGUUUGAAACAUUUUCUCUUCUCUUCUGCUCUUCCAUCUCUGUAGCUUUCAUCCCUGUAGCUGUUGUAUAAUUAUGAUCGAUUUAUAUUUCAAUUGAGUUGGAAUUGGUUUAAAAGUUAUGGUUUUUUUUCCCUCAAUCCAUUUGUUUUACACAUUGUCUUUUUCAAGGGGAUGAAAGUGGACAUUUGAAAUAUCAGACAUUUAAUAGCAUUUAAUGACAAUUCUUAUCAGUGAUUCCAUUGAGUGAUUUUUUUUAUCCUAAUAAUUUUACUUUUGAAGCUAGAAUUAAAUACACUACAAUUUGAUGGGCAUAAAAAGUAUCAUAAUUGUCUUUAUUGAACUCUGGAAUUGACAUCAUGAAAAGCAAUCUUUUAACAACAUGUAGACUACAUUUUUUUUAAUUUCUCUACAUCAAAAAAGAAAUUUAAAAAUGAUUCGCAUACCAGUGCACAAGAGUGAUUUCAAACCAACUAUGAAUAUUAGAUAACCUUUUGAUACUAGAAAUUGCUGCUCAAAAACAUUGAUAUCCAUAUCAAUAACAACUUAAAGUUUUAAAAUAACAAGAAUGAAUUAAAUAGCAACCUGAGACUACUAAUUCUCCUUGUGAAUUUUUACAUUAAUAAUUACUAAUUAAUUUUAAAUCAAAAGGAGUAAUAAAAACCCAUUUCUGAAUUCUAGGUUCACUUACAAGUCUCAGAACACUCACUGUGUAUAUUUGUAACUAAGAAAGGAGAUCACGGGUAUUAAAUCCUGCUUAAAUCAACGUCAAGAUGGGAAAUAAAUUAGAGGCAGUACUCUCCUUAGAAUUUCUAAGAAAACAUAUAUUAACAUGGAUGUAAUAUAGCAAGAGAAUUAAUUGCAAAUAAAGUAAAAUAUACAGAAUGAUAAGGAUGAAUUACAUUUCACUUCUAAUAUCUAAGCGUUCAUUACUAAGAGGAUAUCAGCAAAGAAAAAAAUGCAUGUAUGCUUUACUCCUUCUAAAUUUGCACCAGACGUAGAGGAUCACAUUUUACACAAAGGUGAUCAGGCUUUCCUUCUGAUGAACUUCUCUAUAAGCAUUUUCAUGUGUGUGCAUGUGUACUAGGGAACUAAGACAUGAGAGAGCUUUGUAUAUUGUUGAAACACAAAGGACAGAUAUUCCAUUUAAGUAAGGCUCCCAAUAAAUCUAAAGAAGAAGCCAUUGACGAUUUUAUAAAAAAAAAUAGUUUCACUUGUUAAAAGGCACCAGGGGAUUAGAAAAAAUAUUCAAGGGUCUUAAAGGUUUUAGAAAGCUUUUUGUUGUUGUUGUUCUCAAUGACAGUAAUUUGUAUUCAUUGGUUUGUACUUGCAACAUAUUUUGUUGUAGAAUUUCAUCCGCUAUUUCACGGUGUCUAUGUUGACAUGAAACUGGAUAUUCUAUACCCCUCAAAAAGUGAUUACACUUAUUUUAGGAAAAUCACUAACUAUAAUAAAUAUAUAACAAUAUAUAUAAUUAAAUAUAUGUACUUUAAAGACGUUUUACUAUAGGAAUAGGCAUUAUUGAAAAUACAAAUAUUUGGGAGAGAUGUAAAACUUAAGAAUAAGUUUAAAUCUCAAAUUUAAGGCAGGUAAGUGCUGUUAGUUAUCCCUCAUACUAUACUCAUUUUAAUAUUUCAAUUAAAAUUGAGUAUCUGCAACUGUGCUGUCAGGAAGUAUUAAUACGUGAUUCUUGCGUAAGUUUAAAAAGAGGGGGUAACUGUGGACAUAACGUUUUCAGCUCUGAGGCCUCACAGAAGGCAAAGACCUUCCUCUCACCUGUUCUCUUGGUUGUAUAAAAUUAGAUCUCUUAAAAUCUUGUAUAUUUUGAGGAUUGCGUAAUUGAGAAGAAACUCAGACCCCGCAUGUGAAAUGCACAGCAUUUGUGAGUUAAUUUUCAUUUUUUCCUGCAAAGAAUUGUCAAGGACCCUAAAGGAACAGUGUGUUUAGCGGAGGCCUGCAAAAGAAGCAGGACAAAGAAAUUCAAACAGAGUUUACAAAAUGCAGAUUCAGCGAAUUGCACUUUAUUUACAGAUCAAAUGUUCUCAGUUGGGCGUUCUUUUUAUGCAAAACUCCAGCUCACCUUUUUUUUAUAGGUGAUAUCAAAUAAAAUGCUCUAGCUCUCUCUUUUAAAAUAGCGAAUAAAUAAAUAUUCAGGGAAGUCUAGAAAGCACUACCUAUUACAGUCAGAGAGCCCAUAGAGGACCUCAAUAAAUAACUGUUUAUGAUAUAUUUGUUUCAUAUAUGUAUAAAUUAUGUUUUGUAUGUGUGUGUGUGCAUCUGUGUCCAUGUCUGUCUGUGUGUAUCACAGUUACACGACUAACUAGAGACGUGCGAUUGCAGACAAACCUCGAUCACACUCUGUGUUACUCCACUGGGUGUUUUUAUAGAGUUUUCUCCCCAGUUUCUCAUUUCCUAAGGUUUUAAAGAAGUAAUUGUCUGCAUGGUUUAUGCCCAUCUUUUAGAUCCCAACAAAAGACAUGGCCAUAAUUAGGCAUUCUAAGCCAUAAUCAUAGGAUCAAAAUCAUACAGAGUUGUAACAAGCACAUGGGCACAAAGGCAACUUGGCUUGCUCAGAUUUUACCAGACACCUCCAUAGUAGCAUUAGUUACUUGUACUUUUAACUAGACAGAUAUACCUCAUCUCUAUUUUAGAAACCUCCAGGCUUUAUACCUGAAUUCCCACAAAUCUGGACCCCCAAUGAAGAAAAUUGGCUUAAAUACACACUCAAAAUUGUUCGAUAGUUGAUUAAAGCUUUGGCCCUGCAAGAGUAAUAGCCUUGCAACAAUAGCGCUGCUAAUCUGUGUGAAGUAGGUGUACACAUAUGCCUCUUUUUAUUUGACGUGACUUAGGCGUAGCAGAGUCCUAGAAAUCGCAGUCAUUGAUGUUCAUCUAAAUCACUACUUUCCAUCACUUAGCGCAGUACUUCGAUUCGGACAUAUUUAUAAAGAGGCCAUGUGUGCAUGGUGUGUGCUGAAUUUCUGAAUUUCUGAAUUCAUUACUACCAAUGACUUUUUAACAGAAAAAUACAACGCUGGCUAGUUCAAAGUCAGGGAGGCAAUUUCAGAAAUGUACAGCAGCCAGCAAACGAGGGGGUAAAUAGGACAAGAGUGGCCACAUUAGCCUUCCCUUCUUACAUGCAGGAGCUCAAAAAAUGCUGUUGGACACAGUGCUUUAUUCGAAGAGGUUUCACACAUGCAUUUUUAAUCAGGAUUAUAUUUCACAGAGAUCUGUCACCGCUCACAAGUGCAGCCGGCCGGUCCUCCUUGAAAUGUAUCAGCUCUCGGUCUCAGACCUGAACGAGUUUUUCUUUGUACAAAUCUCGACUUGGUGAUCCACAAGGUGGUGUUUUUCUUAAAAGGAAAAAAUAAUCCCUUCGAGUUGCUUAGGACCCCCACGCACGUUGUUUUUAGUUCAAACAGACAACUGCUUUAACCUGGAACUGUCUUCUAAGUCACUCUCUCCGCCAAGUUAAAGAGGUUAAACAUUUGGUUUUUAAGGUAUUUGCUAAACCUUGAAGAUCUAGUAAGUGGUUUUUUACAUUCAGUUAUUUGCAUAAAUUUGUGUGGUGUUACUCUCACAUUUUUCUUCUAGUCUUGAUUUACUACAUUAUUAAUCUAUUCUCUCCUAUGAUAAUGACGACAAUGACAUAAUUAAUAACAUAUAGUGAAAAAUAUUCAUAUGGACAUCUUUCUCCAAUGUGCUCCAAAUAUUAGAUACAUUAGGUGGCCAUACCAUAAAUGUAUGUUCUUAUCUAGGUGUAUAAAAUAUCCUAUAAAAAUUUGUAAAUGCAAAGAAAAGCAACUGUGUGUAUGUGUAUCCCUAACACUGCCUAAGCAACAAAACAGAUACAAAAGCCCAAAGAGGAGGUCAAAGGUCACAGUUACUAUUUAAAUAAAUUUGAUAUUGUACUAUAAUUACCAAUUAUAUUUGAAAUGUUCUAUAAUUUGAAAUGAUCUAUGAUUAUAUUUUAAAGGCCUCUACUUUGAAAACUUCAGUGUAUUUAGAACAACAAAAAUGCACUCUCACAUAUUCAAAUUAACACAGGAACAGAGAAGGGUUUUUUAAAGCUUAAGUUGGCAUAUAUCAUGUUUAAUGUGUAACAAAUACCAAACCUCCAUUAAGGCACACCCAAAGCAUUACACCUCUAAACUAUAACCUUGUCUCAAAAUACAUUUCAAAUAGUGUGUAGUAGAAUUUUUUUUAGAUACAACAAUCUCUAAUAUUUGUGAAAAGGCAAAAGAGUAAAACCAGUUUAAAAUCUGUAGGUUGGGAAUUACUGUGUAUUAGCAUACGUCCAGAAGAAUAGGCCAACACCAAUAGCACAGGAACAGAUACGUGAAGUAACCAUAUCUAUAUGUUGUCAAGCAACUGGUCAUAAAAGCACUGAAUAAAAGGGCAUUUGAAAUUGGAUAGUUCUGAAAAAUACCACAGCUGAUUUUUUAUAUUCUCUGACAGUUAAGAACAAAAAGACUUUCAGACAAAGAUUUUAGACACUCUCUGUGAUAUUUGACUUCCCCAAAGUGGAUGCAUCCGAUUACCAAAAGUCUGGAACCCCCAAAAAAGCCCGUAUUAAGCCAUUUGAUCCUCAGUUGCUUCAUAUUCAUAAAAUUACUGUAUUACUCACCAUUAUCAUCAAAAACACUGUGCAUUUUCACAUCUGUCAAAGCAUUUAAAAAACCAGAGCUUACAUCUACAAAACGGUGGUGAAGAAAGGCAGCCUAGAAUAUUACACAGAGUCCUUUUUAAAAACAUUACAAUUUUAAUAAUUAAAGCUUUAUUUAGUUUUACCACAAUCAGAAGGUUUGGAAAAUAAAUGUCAAAUUUCCAUGGCAUCUAAUUAGCGGCACAAAUACCAAUGACUCAAAAUUUUCAGGAGCUUAAAAGAUAAAAUUGUCUUUCAGAUCCAGAUUGUUGUCUAGUUUAAGUACAAGGAAAAAGAAGGUAUUAAAGCAAUCAUACUUUUUUUAUCCAUUGCUUUAGCAUUUAGUUAACAAGGACUCUGUGGCUUUAGAGUUGCUUAGCCAACAGCCUAGUAUAGCACAUUUAUAUUCCCCAAUUGGUUUCAUGUUUCCAAAGGGAAAUUUUAGAGGGUAUUAGUUUAAAAUAUUUAUCUCUCUAUUUAGGAAAAUCUCUCACUGUAGUCU
Molecule: long non-coding RNA, 6628 nt
Filed under: Sus scrofa (pig)
Lineage: Eukaryota; Metazoa; Chordata; Mammalia; Artiodactyla; Suidae
Description: lncRNA (ENSSSCG00000052805.1)
Source: RNAcentral